Long non-coding RNA from Varanus komodoensis (Komodo dragon), 275 nucleotides. RefSeq lists it as uncharacterized. The transcript has 2 exons. The record is from RefSeq and is a predicted model, not a curated record. Lineage: Eukaryota; Metazoa; Chordata; Lepidosauria; Squamata; Varanidae.
GCCCGCUUUUUAACAGCAGCUUCCCGCAGGCAGAGUAGAGGCCGCUAGGCAGCGCCCAACCGACCCCGCAGCGGCGAGCAACAAUUUCCUCUUACUGAGAACCUGGUAGAGGAAGAAAAGAUUCAAGACGCAUUUGACAAAUGAUCCACAUAUUCAUUAGAUAUAUUUCUUUUGUUGCAAGAAAUCUUACUCAUAAAGAAAAGGCUUAAUCGCAUUCAGUUUAAAGCUGGCUUGAUUUCCUCACCUGUUAGACUAAUAAACUCAUUGAAGUUCAA